GAAACUCUUAUAAGUUCAAAGUGGGAACUAAAGCCAAUGCAUUAAUGUGGUACACUUAUGUUCGAGAAGCCACGAAAGAGAAACUAGAUUAUAAGGUCCCGCAGAAUCUUAUCACGUUUGAGGAAAGUGAAGAGCAACAAAGCUAACGAAACCUCGGCUAAGGGACAAGAUUAAAUUAAAACCUCGAUACAGGAGAAGAAAAGAAGUAAAACGAUGACUCCGUUCAGUCGGACUUCGACAUUUUAAUUCUCCAUCAGCUGGGAGAUCAGGUCAUGCAAGUCAUGUCAGUGAUAGUCCUGACGCAACCUCGUUCCCAGGGUCUUUCUGUUGUUAAAACCCGAGAUGGCAGUCACGACAAAAGGUUUGUUGACCGGUAUGGCUGCCAGCUCGGAUUUCAGCGCCUUUAAGACCGUGUUGGUGAAGUUGACUCUGAUGUCCAGCGUGGAACAAUUCGUGCAACCGUUGUGCACAUUUUGAGGAAACAUAUGUUCUUGAAUAAGUUUUUAUACCAGCAAUGACGACCCUAAUGAAGGGACAGUUAUUAAGAUACAAAUUGUUGCUGUUUUUAUGAUCGAAAUUAAGAAUAAAUUUUAUUGUUGAUGAUUUAUAAGCUAUAAUAGUUAAGAAAAUCAUUUUUUAUGAAAGAAAUUUGUGCUGACAAGUCACUUUUAAUGGCCAAGCACGGUUGUGCUUUAAUGUGUUACAAUGUACGUUUUGUCGCAUACUUUUGCGAGAUCAUUUGUCGCCAGCGUCUGAUUGAAUUUUUAAUUAUCUAACUCGUUUAUGGCUUUUAUCUAAACAAGUUGGAAAACUCGAUAUUUUGGUAAAUAUAUUUAAACUGAUCAGUGUUGCCAACUUAUCACUGUUGGUGUUUGCAUUCAAAAAUUAUUUAAAACCGAAAAGCGUUCAAAGACCAGUACUUUUAUAAAUAUUGGUAUUCUGUUAAGUGUGGCAACACUUGCAGCGUUUAUAGGUGCAUGCCAAAGGGAAAAUAAGUAAGCUUUAUUACUUUCUCCUUUUGUGUUUGACUUCUUAUUGACGGACAUUGGAGUAGAAUUUUAUCGGAUAGAAAAGUCCCAGAGCCUCGAUAGCGGUUAAGAAAUUUCCUUUGAGUAAUUUAUGAAGAUGAUAGACUCGCGGUUAUUUAAUUUACUCUGUCGGUUGUGUCACGCGCAUGAUUGGGACUGUUCAUUGAAUUAAAGCUAUUUUGCUACAGUUUUAGGUUUAAGGAAUCGAUUGUCGUUACACCAGGUAGUCGCUGUCAGAGUAAAAUAAGACAGUUUUCGUAAACUAGACUUUUAGUUAGAUUGCUUCAGAAUAAGCGGUAUUUUAUUUCAACCAUGACAUCUUCGGAGUAAAGCUUAAUUAUGUUGAAGACAAACGGACUGCUUAUUUAAUGCCAUAAGGAUCACUGUAUUGUUUAAUGUUCUUUGAAGACGUGAACGCUGAAACUGUUUUAUUAAUUAAUUUAUGAAUCCUAUUUUAUUGCUAUUGCCCUGUACUAUUACAGAAUAAAUAACUUUGUUACCUUA
Molecule: long non-coding RNA, 1532 nt
Organism: Orbicella faveolata
Lineage: Eukaryota; Metazoa; Cnidaria; Anthozoa; Scleractinia; Merulinidae
Source: RefSeq, a predicted model, not a curated record